CGCGUAGGCGGGAUGGUAAGUCGGUCGUGAAAUCCCUCGGCUCAACCGAGGAACGUCGAUCGAUACUACUGUUCUUGAGGGUUGCAGAGGAGACUGGAAUUCCCGGUGUAGCGGUGAAAUGUGUAGAGAUCGGGAGGAACACCGGUGGCGAAGGCGGGUCUCUGGGCAAUUCCUGACGCUGAGGCGCGAAAGCGUGGGGAGGCAAACG
RNAcentral lists this ribosomal RNA (208 nucleotides) under uncultured bacterium. RNAcentral's name for it is "partial 16S ribosomal RNA". It matches the Rfam family "Bacterial small subunit ribosomal RNA", at positions 568 to 775 of the family's 1533-position model. The record is from RNAcentral.